AAUGAAAUAUAAAUAUGAACUUGAACUGGAGGAAUUAAAUAUAAAUAUGAACUUGAACUGGGGGAAUGAAAUAUAAAUAAAGGGAGAUAAUUUGAAUGGUAUAUUUUACAGUUUCUAUGGAAACUAUGCCAAAGUAAGUUUAUCUCAUUUAAACCUGUUUCUGAAUAAACAAUUCAUGUAAUUAUUACUAAACUAUAUAAAACAUUUAACCAAAAGCUAUGUACAAUGUGCCAGAUAAAUAUAACUGACAAACACAAAUAAAACAUGAAUGCAAGAGCACC
RNAcentral lists this long non-coding RNA (281 nucleotides) under Mytilus galloprovincialis (Mediterranean mussel). The record is from RNAcentral. Lineage: Eukaryota; Metazoa; Mollusca; Bivalvia; Mytilida; Mytilidae.